Small nucleolar RNA from Manihot esculenta (cassava), 83 nucleotides. RefSeq annotates it as small nucleolar RNA Z159/U59. The transcript has a single exon. The record is from RefSeq and is a predicted model, not a curated record. Lineage: Eukaryota; Viridiplantae; Streptophyta; Magnoliopsida; Malpighiales; Euphorbiaceae.
GCCUCUGUGGAUGAUUAACAGAGUACUUUCGUUCUUCCGAGAUGUCCCAUGCGGAAACUUCUGGAGACCUGAACUGAAGAGGC